UACAGAGGUCCCAAGCGUUACUGAGAUUCACUGGGUUUAAAGGGUGCGUAGGUGGCGCGUUAAGUCAGUUGUGAAAUCCCCGGGCUCAACCCGGGAAAUGCUUCUGAUACUGGCGUGCUUGAGGCCGGUAUAGGUUACUGGAACGGACGGUGGAGCGGUGAAAUGCGUAGAUAUCGUCUGGAACGCCAGUGGUGAAGACGGUCUUCUGGACUGAUACUGACACUGAGGCACGAAAGCCAGGGGAGCGAACGGG
RNAcentral lists this ribosomal RNA (253 nucleotides) under uncultured bacterium. Its description in RNAcentral is "partial 16S ribosomal RNA". It matches the Rfam family "Bacterial small subunit ribosomal RNA", at positions 524 to 776 of the family's 1533-position model. The record is from RNAcentral.